RNAcentral lists this ribosomal RNA (446 nucleotides) under uncultured Pelagibacterales bacterium. RNAcentral describes it as "bacterial SSU rRNA". It matches the Rfam family "Bacterial small subunit ribosomal RNA", at positions 1072 to 1533 of the family's 1533-position model. Lineage: Bacteria; Pseudomonadati; Pseudomonadota; Alphaproteobacteria; Candidatus Pelagibacterales. The record is from RNAcentral.
GAGAGUGGGUAGUCCGCACGAGCGCACCUUACUUUUAGUUGCCAUCAUUUAGUUGGGCACUCUGAAAGAACUGCCAGUGAUAAGCUGGAGGAAGGUGGGGAUGACGUCAAGUCCUCAUGGCCCUUACGUGUUGGGCUACACACGUGCUACAAUGGUAUCUACAACAGGAAGCAAAACAGCGAUGUUAAGCAAAUCCCGAAAAGAUACCUCAGUUCGGAUUGCACUCUGCAACUCGAGUGCAUGAAGCUGGAAUUACUAGUAAUCGUGGAUCAGCGUGCCACGGUGAAUACGUUCCCGGGUCUUGUACACACCGCCCGUCACACCAUGGGAGUUGGUUCUACCUUAAGGCAAGGUUUUAAACCCUUGACCACGGUAUAGUCAGCGACUGGGGUGAAGUCGUAACAAGGUAGCCGUAGGGGAACCUGCGGCUGGAUUACCUCCUUUCU